RNAcentral lists this ribosomal RNA (478 nucleotides) under uncultured bacterium. RNAcentral's name for it is "partial 16S ribosomal RNA". It matches the Rfam family "Bacterial small subunit ribosomal RNA", at positions 28 to 507 of the family's 1533-position model. The record is from RNAcentral.
GAUGAACGCUGGCGGCGUGCUUAACACAUGCAAGUCGAACGGGAAACCUUUUAUUGAAGCUUCGGCAGAUUUAGCUGGUUUCUAGUGGCGGACGGGUGAGUAACGCGUUGGUAACCUGCCUUAUACAGGGGGAUAACAGUCAGAAAUGGCUGCUAAUACCGCAUAAGCGCACAGAGCUGCAUGGCUCAGUGUGAAAAACUCCGGUGGUAUAAGAUGGACUCGCGUUGGAUUAGCUGGUUGGUGGGGUAACGGCCCCCCAAGGCGACGAUCCAUAGCCGGCAUGAGAGGGUGAGCGGCCACACUGGGACUGAGACACGGCCCAGACUCCUACGGGAAGCAGCAGUGGGGAAUAUUGCAAAAUGGGGGAAACCAUGAUGCAGCGACGCUGCGUGAAGGAAGAAGUAUCUCGGUAUGUAAACUUCUAUCAGCAGGGCAGAUAAUGACGGUACCUGACUAAGAAGCCCCGGCUAACUACGUG